RNAcentral lists this ribosomal RNA (420 nucleotides) under uncultured Escherichia clone MT9. RNAcentral's name for it is "bacterial SSU rRNA". It matches the Rfam family "Bacterial small subunit ribosomal RNA", at positions 30 to 445 of the family's 1533-position model. The record is from RNAcentral. Lineage: Bacteria; Pseudomonadati; Pseudomonadota; Gammaproteobacteria; Enterobacterales; Enterobacteriaceae.
UUGAACGCUGGCGGCAGGCCUAACACAUGCAAGUCGAACGGUAACAGGAAGAAGCUUGCUUCUUUGCUGACGAGUGGCGGACGGGUGAGUAAUGCCUGGGAAACUGCCUGAUGGAGGGGGAUAACUACUGGAAACGGUAGCUAAUACCGCAUAACGUCGCAAGACCAAAGAGGGGGACCUUCGGGCCUCUUGCCAUCGGAUGUGCCCAGAUGGGAUUAGCUAGUAGGUGGGGUAACGGCUCACCUAGGCGACGAUCCCUAGCUGGUCUGAGAGGAUGACCAGCCACACUGGAACUGAGACACGGUCCAGACUCCUACGGGAGGCAGCAGUGGGGAAUAUUGCACAAUGGGCGCAAGCCUGAUGCAGCCAUGCCGCGUGUAUGAAGAAGGCCUUCGGGUUGUAAAGUACUUUCAGCCGGGG